AAACUGUGUUAGGAGGGCAUCUCCUGAUCAUCUACUUUUAUCUCUCCCAAGCCUCAUAGAGGGACUCUCCAUCUUUAUGUCUGAAGGUGUGGACAUCCACUCUAAGCUU
Molecule: small nucleolar RNA, 109 nt
Organism: Arachis duranensis
Lineage: Eukaryota; Viridiplantae; Streptophyta; Magnoliopsida; Fabales; Fabaceae
Source: RefSeq, a predicted model, not a curated record